This is a non-coding RNA of Equus caballus (horse), 5670 nucleotides long. Lineage: Eukaryota; Metazoa; Chordata; Mammalia; Perissodactyla; Equidae. The record is from RefSeq and is a predicted model, not a curated record.
AGUGGGCAUUGGCAAAUGGCAAUAAAUUAUCUGGUGGAGGAUCAGGGCAGAUCCUCAGAGAAGGGGACAUGUAAGAUGGGUUUGGACGGGUGACGAGGAGCUUGGCAAUAGACACGGGGGUGGGAGAAUGUUCAAAAUAGAAGGAACUGCAAACAACUUUGGGGAUCUGUAAGAGGUUUAGUGUUAGAGGAAUGUGAAGCGGGAGAAGGGGAGGCAGGACCAGCCACCACGGUUUUGGGGCCCUGUGUAAAAUGAAAAUGCCGAUCCCACAUUCAAAAGUGAUUCAGAAUUUCAAGACAGCAAGGCUGAGCCUGAAAUCAAGCCUGGGGCCCUGUGGAGUGCGGGGCCACGGCCACGAGGCCAGCCUGAGGCUGGAGCCCAAGUUAGACCGGAAGGACGACCUCAUCGCCCAGGGCUUUCCUGGUCAUGCUUGGACUCGGGCUCUGUCCCAAAGUCGACCGAGGCCAGGAGAGAUUUCUGAGCUGGGGUGAAGCGAGGCCAGGCUUGUUUUUGACAAAGACCAUGCUGGGGCCGCACUGAAGUCAGGACAGGAAGGCUGGUCAGGAAGAGAGUGAAAUGGCCUGAAGAGAGAGGACGAGGAUGGGAGAGUGACAGCGGGACAGAGGCGCCGGGACCUGAAGGAUCCUUCGGUGAACCCUCUCAGGACCCACCGCACCCAGUGUGCCACACGAGGCCGAUGUUUCACUAACCCACAUCGGGGGAGCCAAAUCGCCCCCUGCCUAGGGCCCCAGCCUCGAGAGGAAGCUGUCAUCACUGUUCCAGAACUCUCCUUGGAUUUGCAUUUCCUGACUUGGGUAUUGGUGACACCACUUUUCAUGUCCUGACUGAAUCAAGACGGGCCCUUUUUUGGGGGUGAGGGAGCCAGUGAGUGCUGAGGCAUCCCUGAGGCAGGGAACUGUUCCACACAGCAGGGAGAGGAACUGCGCAGACCCCACCCCCAGCCCUCCUGCUGCCAGGAAGACAGCAGGUGCUUCUAGUGCCAGGGUGGGGUGCCAGGACCCCUCCCCCUUCAUAGGGCCCCUCUUCUGAUCCUCAUCACAGUGCCUUGGGGGCACUGUGAACCCCUUUACACAUGAGCACCGCAGCUGCCUGAGUCUACAGCCCCCUGCCCACUAGCAGGUGUGGGUAGGAUGAGGAUGGGACCCGGUCCCCAGCUCCUGGGUGCCUCCCCAAAGCCCCUCCCAGCUCGAGCAGAUGCCUGGGAACAGCCUCGGUUCUUUUGCUUCCACUUCACAGGUGGAGAAACAGAAAAGAGGAGAUGAAACAGUGAGACACCUGGGUGAAACCCGUCUUGUUUCUAGGAUGGGGUGAUUUUAUUUAAACCUGGCAUGGAGUGGAUGUCUCCAUUAGCUUAUCUGUAAAAAAAAAAAGAAACAACAUAAAAAGAGGAGUCUGGUCCAUCCCAGAGAGGAGGGAAUGCGGAGGCAUAUUUAACGCUUUUGAAGGGAAACAAACACACGUGGCAGCUAAGUAAGUACAGUUACAAUCGGCUGCGUUGGGCUCCAUUGUUCCAAGAACUGUUUGAAAACAUGCAUGUCCUCCUGCAGUCGCAAGGCUGGCUUGGAGAGUCUGCACUUUCUGGAAGCCGGAGGGCGUGGCGAGGCAGGUGGAGGAGGAGAGGGCGGAGGCAGGGCUGGAGAGCCUCGCUGUCUGGGAGGAGGAGGGAGAUGGGAGGUGGUCAGCAGCCCAGGAGCGCCCCAGGAAGCUCGAGGCAACCAACCCCGAAGCCAAGGCCGCUCUCUGGGUCGGUUGGUUGCCUGUUUAAACUGGGAUAGUGAUCUUAGGAGCAGAAAAAGCUUCCUGCACGUAAGAGCUUGGCUGACAGAAAAAGUCCACAACCUGCAGGCUGGAUGGAGCGCCGGGCUCUGCAGCAGUCUUCCGGGCUGCCAAAGGGCGAGGGCCUCGAAGGGCACUUGAAACAACACAGUGACUCUGAACGAAUCCGUGUGUCUCAUCCUUACAGAAACAUACCCUGUGUAAAUGAGUCACAAGCUUUCGAGAAUAAAAUCCAAUUUUCCUGUCAGAGGGAAAGAUGACCCCCCAGACUGCCGGGGGCUGGGAGGCUGGCCGCAGGCCGGUUCCCCCAGCCCCUGCCUCUCCUUUGUGAAGCCUGGAAAAUGGAGCAGUGGGGGAAUCCUGUGGCGGCUGAGUGUGCCUGCACCGUCGACGGAUGACUGUGCAGCCCAGGUCCCUCGUGUUCUGAGGGCAUCGUAGUGGAGCUGCCGCCGGGGCCUUUCAGGAGUUCGGGUGAACUCCUCAAUAGCAGGUUUUUUUUCCCUCUUCUUUUCAACAUUCGCCUUCUUUUCUUACAUCCUCAUCUUCGCUUUCUCCUUUUUCCCUUUUUUUGUGCUUUUUUCUUUCUCCUUUUUCUUUUGGCUUUUCUGAUAGCGUUUUUCUCCUGGCGUUGUGUUUUAAGUCUCUAAAUGAAACUUGACUGCCCCCACGGCCGGCUGGAGAAGCACAAAGGCCUCCCGUCCCACUGGCUACAGUAACGCCAUUGUGUGUCCUAACAAUGCAUUAAUUGGCGGCGACAAUUGUGUGUGUGUGUGGGGGGAGGCGGCCGCUCUUUUCCAAUCAGCAGGCCACUGAAAUAAAAGGAGAGGCAGAGGAGGACGGGAGGCCCAGGCUCCUGAUGGCGGGGGACAGACCCACAGAGGGGGCGCAGCACUGGGGUUUGUGCUGGGCUUUCUAAAUUAAUGAUAAACAUACAGGAGAAAAUAAUUACUUUGGGAAAAAAAUAUAGACUUCACUGCAGGCAACUCCAUAGUCCUGGUGGGGGUGGAGGGAGGCCAGGGUGAACCCCUCCAGGACAGCUCUUGGCAGGGGGUUGAGUUGAGCCCACCCCCACAGCAGCAUCUGUAUUUCUGCAAACCGAUGGGAAAGUGGGAGAGGCAGUGAAGGGAGGCUCGGAGGAAACCGGCAGGAUGGCUGAGGGGCCGUGCCCUUCGAGGCCCUCGCCCUUUGGCAGCCCGGAAGACUGCUGCAGAGCCCGGCGCUCCAUCCAGCCUGCAGGUUGUGGACUUUUUCUGUCAGCCAAGCUCUUACGUGCAGGAAGCUUUUUCUGCUCCUAAGAUCACUAUCCCAGUUUAAACAGGCAACCAACCGACCCAGAGAGCGGCCUUGGCUUCGGGGUUGGUUGCCUCGAGCUUCCUGGGGCGCUCCUGGGCUGCUGACCACCUCCCAUCUCCCUCCUCCUCCCACUGACCCCUAGACAGCGGGGACCCUCCUACCCAUCCUCUGCCCUCUCUCACAGAUUUUUGUGCCUUUUAUGUCAUGAAUAUCUUAUACUUUAAGGUGAAAUACUCUUCCAGCGGAAGAACUGAAUCAAGAGCGUGUGAAUGCUUGACAUCUUUUUGGUGAGUGCAUCGUGGGCCCUGCCGAUGAAGGCUCCUCUCUCUGCUCAGUUCUGUAGGAACCAACCCUGCUUCUCGAGCAGGUCGUUUCCAUUAGUCGGUUGUCCAGCCCCUUCUGAGUGUCACUGCCCUCAUGCUGGCGAUACAGCAAGCUCCUGAAGAAGCACCUCUUCUCAAUUAAACAAGUCUUCCUCCUACCUUGGCACAGCUCUCUGAGCACGGAGGUCGGGCAUGGGCACCCUGGCAGGGCCCACUCCUGUUGUUCAUGCUGCAGUGUCUGUUAGGUGCAAAGGUCAGGAUGACAUUGCAAAUGCAUGGGGAGAAAUUGUGUGGGAAAGGCGUUGUGUCAGACACCAGCUCUGGUUAACUUGAGAGAAGCCAUUUGUUGCACAGUUGAUAGAAUUUAAGGAAUAAAAAGAAACAGGUCUUCGGAAGAACAGAGUUCAACGUAGUUUCGAAGGAGUGGGAGCUAACAGCCAAUCCCUUUGAGGCUGCAGUCCAGUGUGUGCGCUCAGCUCCCCUCAAGGAUCACAUCCCUGCUGGCCUGGCUUGGGCCGGGGGCCCCAAAAGGAAGGGGACUUCGACGACAGGCCACCAGGACUUCCUUCCUCUGAAGGGAAAGCGGGACCCUGCACCUUAGAGGAGGCGAGAGGGAAGCUGGGGAGCCACAACCCAUCAUGAUUUAUCAGGCCUUCGGGAGGCGCACGCGUGUUCUUAUUUUUAUUUUGUAAAAAGUUUGCUGUUUGAACAAACUAAACAAAAAAUGUUUUUGGGGCAAUAAGAUGAAUUUGAUUUGGAACUAAGCGUCAGACGAUAAGGAAUUAUUGUCAAUUUCAUAGGUGUGUAAUUGCUUUGUGACUAUGUGGAAAAAAUAAACAUCUUUUUUAGAUGUGUACUAAGGCACGUGAGCAUAAAACGUCAUUAUGUCUUGGAUUUGCUUUGUGAUAUUUCCUCAAAAAAGUAAAAAAUGAAAACAAGAGUAGCUGAAACAAACCAGGCAAAAUCUAAUAAUUCUUAUUUUUGAAAAUGUUUAUUUUGAUUUUUGCAAGUCCUUAUUAGAGACACGCUGUGUGGCCUGCGUAUGAGCUGACUGGGUGCCAGAGGCACUGAUCUGGGGACGGUUGGGCAGGGCUAGUUCCCAGGACUCGCUGUCUGUUGUACGUGCUGACACACGCUCAACCUUAAGUGCCGCUCUGCGUGAGGCCAGCCAGCCAGCCAGUGCCCGGCUCUGCUCCCCUCAGCUCAGCGUGGAAUGGACGUGCGCAAGCGGGAGCUGCUUCCUGAGACAUCUGUCAUCAGGCAGCUCCUCUGGGCACUGGGGCUGCUGACGCUGCUUCCUCAGUUGCCUAACUCCGGACAGCAGCGAGAAAGCCAUUUGGGGAGGCUGACCCAGUUUAGAAUUCAAAUUCCCUUCCCUGCAUGUGCAAUUGGAAUUUAUUUCCUAUGCAAAAGGCAAGAAUCUCAGAGUAAAACACCUCUAGCUAGGCGUGGGUAUGUGAGCGCCGAUCCUGGUGAAAAAGGAUCUUGGUGUGUUUUCAUAAGGAUGCGCGCCUUGUGGUAUUCUCAGAACCUGACAUUAUCAAAAGUGUGUCAUCACGAUACAGUGCUGAAGCUAAGGCAAUUUGGAUGUCCUUGGGCCCAAAAUUAAUAUGUGCUUUGUAUAGUCUUGUAAUUUGGGAAGCAAUUUUCCAUAACACAGUGGGAGAUCUUCCUUUAUACAUCUGAGAUAAUUUAGCUCAAUGCUCAUUUGAAAAAAUUACUGCGCUAAUAGCAGCUCUUCAGCUUCAGAACAGCAGACCCUAUGGGGAGAACACAGAAGUCACGGAAAGUGAUUCUCCUGAGUCUGUCUGGGUUCGUCUGGACAAAAGCCGGCGGAAUUUCCCCCAGACCAACAGCUGCCUGAGAUUGUAUGGCAGGAUCCGAAAUAUUGUAUAAACUCAUGAACUCUAGCCGAUUUGCUGAAAGCCCAUAGCCCUGAAUGGAAGAAUAUUAAAUAAAGGUGGAGGAGUAAUGAAUUUCCCCAUUGUCCAGGUAAACUGGGAGUCAGUGCACAUGAGUUGGAAUUCCUGUAUGUUCAGCUAUGGGAACAAUUUGUUCUUCCUACUGGAUUUUUCUGCCCAAGCUACGAAGGAAGAGAUGUAAACAGCAGAAUAAAUUAUAUCUUUCUGCUGGGUGUGUUUUGCCUUGGGCUUCCUGGGUAUUAUGUACCAUCGGGGCAGAGGGUGGGGGACAAUCCUCUGCUCCAAUCAGAAUUUAAUACACUAAUAAAAAUAAAUUUAAAACAUUUUUUUCCCCA